Molecule: long non-coding RNA, 1648 nt
Organism: Patella vulgata (common limpet)
Lineage: Eukaryota; Metazoa; Mollusca; Gastropoda; Patellidae
Exons: 6
Source: RefSeq, a predicted model, not a curated record
CUAAAAUACAUGCUGAUUGGCAUUCGGUGUUCUAGAAAGAUCGAGCUCUCUGCCUCGUGUACCACUAAAUGAUAAUGUAGUCGGGUUUACUCAAAGAAGCCCAUGGAAGAUGUAAGAUCGAAUUGAACACCGAUAAGGAACGACUAUUUGUUAGUGAAGUGGUGUUACAGUAUUUAAACAACGCCGAGUUCUUCACUUGUUAUCGUCUGCUUUCUGUGUACAGACGAACCUUUAUGGCAGCGGAACACCACACAGAUUGGUGACGUCAGGAGUAUCCAAUUGCUCAAUUUGAUGAUGUAACCAGAAACUGUGACAAUUGAUGAUCCGGUGUCUAUCAUUCUAGAAAAAGUCAAAUAACACAGCGAUAUAAAUGUAGUCGCGCCGUCACGCUAACGAUUUCUAAAACAAAUUGAAAAACCAAAUAAGGGAAAAAAGAGACCAAUCUGGAAUUUUGUGAGUAGUUAAGAGAUUCCAGAAGAUCGAAGGAAAAGCGUCAUUGAUUUUUAGAUAAUGUUUUAAUGGACAGGUGUAGUUAAUAACUUUGAUAGAACCAGACAAAAACAACAAGAAACACAUUAAACAUCAUGUUUUAACUCAGAUGAUCACAAUAGGAGAACAAUGCUGAUAAUGGAAUGGUUAGUUAUUCUUUUUGGAGUGAAUCUUCUGCAAUUAGUGCGAAGCUUUUGUCUACAAAAUUCGUCUUCCACUUGUUACGUGUCGUUUGCGGAAUUACGGAAACACGUGACCAGUAUCCAGGUAACGGAUUUAUUGGUGCCAGAUAAAAAUAACACGAAUCACAAAGUGGUGUGUAGAUUGUAUGAAGAAUAUAGAUCUUGUAAAUAUACGGGUUUAACCGACUGUUACAACGAAAAACAAAACGAAAUGAAUAUAAUAGAUGAGGUUUUUGAUCCAAUCUGCAGCAAAGAAUUUCAUGAUUUUGUAACAGAAAGUCAUUGCAUCCACCGAUUAAGACGCCAUUUUAAAGUUUGCCAUCGUAAAAAACACUGGAAAGAUAAGAAAUCACCAUCAAUAAGAAGUUUACAUUCAUCUCACCAUUUAGAAAAUCGACACUGCAACAUAACCAAGGACUAUAUAAUGUGUCUGUAUAGUGUUACAGCUUUGGGCUGUUCAAUAGACGUAGCUGAGAAUUAUUUCUCUAUAUUAAAUCAAAGCCUUUCAACUGCCUUCAAAUAUCGGGGACAAUUAUGCAUACUAAACCAUCCAUUAACAGCAGUUUCGACUACGUCAGCAUCAAGAUUGAUGAUGUCACACCCACUAUUGACGACACCAUCAUCUGUGUAUAGUAAUUUAGGAAGUGGGACAACACCAAUGACCGUUUCUAAUAAUAUGUACAAAGUUUUGUAUGCUUUUGUAUUUUUGUGUUUAUUACGUAUUUAUAUAGAAAAAUAAACUGUUUUGUGAUUAGAUUUAGACAGAUAAUGUGAUUAAACUAUUUUGGUAAAAAGAGUUGAUGAACGUUCUUUUUUAUAAAUUUCACAAGGUUUUGUUAACACUGUCAGUUUGGUGUGUGAACCAGGGUGUCACAGCGAGGGACUAAGAUUAGAAACACGUUUAGAUUUAUCCAGCUAAGUGUAUAUUUCAGGAGUAAAUAUGUAAAUAUGAUAUGUCUUAAUUAUCUAUUGGACCA